AGUGAACGCUGGCGGUAGGCCUAACACAUGCAAGUCGAACGGCAGCACAGUAAGAGCUUGCUCUUACGGGUGGCGAGUGGCGGACGGGUGAGGAAUACAUCGGAAUCUACUUUUUCGUGGGGGAUAACGUAGGGAAACUUACGCUAAUACCGCAUACUACCUACGGGUGAAAGCAGGGGAUCUUCGGACCUUGCGCGAUUGAAUGAGCCGAUGCCGGAUUAGCUAGUUGGCGGGGUAAAGGCCCACCAAGGCGACGAUCCGUAGCUGGUCUGAGAGGAUGAUCAGCCACACUGGAACUGAGACACGGUCCAGACUCCUACGGGAGGCAGCAGUGGGGAAUAUUGGACAAUGGGCGCAAGCCUGAUCCAGCCAUACCGCGUGGGUGAAGAAGGCCUUCGGGUCGUAAAGCUCUUUUGUUGGGAAAGAAAAGCAGCAGGUUAAUACCCCGCUGUUCUGACGGUACCCAAAGAAUAAGCACCGGCUAACUUCGUG
Molecule: ribosomal RNA, 492 nt
Filed under: uncultured bacterium
Lineage: Bacteria
Description: partial 16S ribosomal RNA
Rfam family: Bacterial small subunit ribosomal RNA
Source: RNAcentral